RNAcentral lists this transfer RNA (77 nucleotides) under Marinospirillum insulare. Its description in RNAcentral is "tRNA-Met". It matches the Rfam family "tRNA". From Rfam's summary of the family: Transfer RNA (tRNA) molecules are approximately 80 nucleotides in length. Their secondary structure includes four short double-helical elements and three loops (D, anti-codon, and T loops). The record is from RNAcentral. RNAcentral also lists the same sequence under 32 other names. Lineage: Bacteria; Pseudomonadati; Pseudomonadota; Gammaproteobacteria; Oceanospirillales; Oceanospirillaceae.
UGCGGGGUGGAGCAGCCUGGUAGCUCGUCGGGCUCAUAACCCGAAGGUCGUUGGUUCGAAUCCAGCCCCCGCUACCA